Molecule: ribosomal RNA, 230 nt
Filed under: uncultured bacterium
Lineage: Bacteria
Description: partial 16S ribosomal RNA
Rfam family: Bacterial small subunit ribosomal RNA
Source: RNAcentral
CGGACGGGUGAGUAAUGUCUGGGAAACUGCCCGAUGGAGGGGGAUAACUACUGGAAACGGUAGCUAAUACCGCAUAACGUCGCAAGACCAAGAGGGGACCUUCGGGCCUCUUGCCAUCGGAUGUGCCCAGAUGGGAUUAGCUAGUAGGUAAGGUAACGGCUUACCUAGGCGACGAUCCCUAGCUGGUCUGAGAGGAUGAUCAGCCACACUGGGACUGAGACACGGCCCAG